RNAcentral lists this ribosomal RNA (482 nucleotides) under uncultured bacterium. Its description in RNAcentral is "partial 16S ribosomal RNA". It matches the Rfam family "Bacterial small subunit ribosomal RNA", at positions 30 to 507 of the family's 1533-position model. The record is from RNAcentral.
AUUGAACGCUGGCGGCAUGCCUUACACAUGCAAGUCGAACGGUAACGGGCCUUCGGGUGCCGACGAGUGGCGAACGGGUGAGUAAUACAUCGGAACGUGCCCGAUCGUGGGGGAUAACGAGGCGAAAGCUUUGCUAAUACCGCAUACGAUCUACGGAUGAAAGCAGGGGACCGCAAGGCCUUGCGCGGACGGAGCGGCCGAUGGCAGAUUAGGUAGUUGGUGGGAUAAAAGCUUACCAAGCCGACGAUCUGUAGCUGGUCUGAGAGGAUGAUCAGCCACACUGGGACUGAGACACGGCCCAGACUCCUACGGGAGGCAGCAGUGGGGAAUUUUGGGCAAUGGGCGCAAGCCUGAUCCAGCCAUGCCGCGUGCAGGAUGAAGGCCUUCGGGUUGUAAACUGCUUUUGUACGGAACGAAAAGCCUUCUUUUAAUACAGGAGGGUCAUGACGGUACCGUAAGAAUAAGCACCGGCUAACUACGUG